This 30-nucleotide non-coding RNA is filed under the name Homo sapiens (human). The record is from RNAcentral. Lineage: Eukaryota; Metazoa; Chordata; Mammalia; Primates; Hominidae.
AUCAGGAUCAUGCCCAUGAAUAGUCGGGGC